Molecule: ribosomal RNA, 238 nt
Filed under: uncultured bacterium
Lineage: Bacteria
Description: partial 16S ribosomal RNA
Rfam family: Bacterial small subunit ribosomal RNA
Source: RNAcentral
GACCAUGGCUCAGGACGAACGCUGGCGGCGUGCCUAACACAUGCAAGUCGAACGGAGAAUUUUAUUUCGGUAGAAUUCUUAGUGGCGAACGGGUGAGUAACGCGUAGGCAACCUGCCCUUUAGACGGGGACAACAUUCCGAAAGGAGUGCUAAUACCGGAUGUGAUCAUCUUGCCGCAUGGCAGGAUGAAGAAAGAUGGCCUCUACAAGUAAGCUAUCGCUAAAGGAUGGGCCUGCGU